RNAcentral lists this ribosomal RNA (497 nucleotides) under uncultured bacterium. RNAcentral's name for it is "partial 16S ribosomal RNA". It matches the Rfam family "Bacterial small subunit ribosomal RNA", at positions 28 to 507 of the family's 1533-position model. The record is from RNAcentral.
GAUGAACGCUGGCGGCGUGCCUAAUACAUGCAAGUCGAGCGAACAGACGAGGAGCUUGCUCCUCUGACGUUAGCGGCGGACGGGUGAGUAACACGUGGAUAACCUACCUAUAAGACUGGGAUAACUUCGGGAAACCGGAGCUAAUACCGGAUAAUAUAUUGAACCGCAUGGUUCAAUAGUGAAAGACGGUUUUGCUGUCACUUAUAGAUGGAUCCGCGCCGCAUUAGCUAGUUGGUAAGGUAACGGCUUACCAAGGCAACGAUGCGUAGCCGAACUGAGAGGGUGAUCGGCCACACUGGAACUGAGACACGGUCCAGACUCCUACGGGAGGCAGCAGUAGGGAAUCUUCCGCAAUGGGCGAAAGCCUGACGGAGCAACGCCGCGUGAGUGAUGAAGGUCUUCGGAUCGUAAAACUCUGUUAUUAGGGAAGAACAAAUGUGUAAGUAAAUAUGCACGUCUUGACGGUACCUAAUCAGAAAGCCACGGCUAACUACGUG